This 780-nucleotide ribosomal RNA is filed under the name Triticum aestivum (bread wheat). Its description in RNAcentral is "partial small subunit ribosomal RNA". The record is from RNAcentral. Lineage: Eukaryota; Viridiplantae; Streptophyta; Magnoliopsida; Poales; Poaceae.
AUGUGGCAAACGCGGUGCUGGACGGAUAUGCUUCCCGCUAAAGCACCAGCAGCAGCCAAGAAGAUUGAAGAAUCCAAUGAAAGUUCUGAUUCUGAAAGCUCUGACUCUGAGAAGCCAGCUACUGAAGUGAAGAAUUAUGCGGUUGCUACUGCACAAAAGAAAAACCAGGAAUUGGACGGCUCUGACAGUGAUUCUGACGAUUCAUCAGAUGGGGAUAUGGCCACUAAAAAACCAGUAGCCAAGAAAGUGGUAGAAUCCAGUGAAAGUUCUGAUUCUGACUCUGAGGAGGAUACCACUGCUAAACCAGUUCAAUCUUCCAAGGUUGUUGUUGUUAAAAAGAAUAAAGAAUCUAGUGAUAGCUCAUAUUCUGACUCAGAUUCAGAUACUGAAGAAGAUACCACUGCUCAAACAAUUUCUGUAAAGAAAGAAAAAUCUAGUGGUAGCUCAGAUAAUGACUCGGAUUCAGAUUCGGAUGAACCAGCAAAAUCUACUAUUCCUGCUAAGAGGCCUCUGACAACAGAGAAAAAGAGUGAACAUUCCAAGGAUGAUUCUGAUGAUAGUUCUGAUGAGAGUGAUGAAGAGUCUGCACUAAAGAAGCCUAAGGAUCCAUCUUCUAGUGGUGCCAUGCCAGUCUCUAAGGUUGCCAAGAAAGAAAGCAGUGGUGAUGAUGACAGUUCUAAAGAGAGCUCCAGCAGUGAUGAUGAAAAUGAUCAAUCAAUGUCAAUGGUGAAGUCCAAGCAGAACGAAGAACGAAGAUCUGAAUCAUCCUCACCCCUCUAG